CACACACAAAAUAUGCUAAGUGGCACAAAGACUUGCUUCACUCACCAGCCCAAAAAGACCAAUGGUGAUCUAUUGAGUGGUUGGUCAAAUUUGAACAUGCACUAACCAUUUGGCUGGUGGAUAAAAAAGUUAAUUUUAAACCCUGAUUUUUAAGUAUUAACUGCUAAGUACUAGAGAUGUUUCGAUACCGGUUUUCCUUCCCGAUUCUGAUACCUGAUACCUUUCAUAUUGGCCGAUAUAUAUUUUGUUUUUUUAAAAGCUGUAUAAACCGUCUCUGGGUAAACUCUCCGCUAGCGGACCAAAACAAGAAAUCAAUUCUUCUACGUCUGCAACCAGCGAUUGUUUUCAUUAUUGAUUAACCUGCCGAUUAUUUUCUAGAUUCGUUGUUUUGGUCUAUUAAAUGGCAGAAAAAAGGUGAAAAAUGUCCAUCCUAGUUUCUCAAAGUCCAAGGCGAUGUCUUUAACCCUUGUAUUGUCCUCCCAGGUGAAAACUUUAUUCAACAUUUUCUAAUCUUUCACCCCUUAAACCAACUUAUUAACUCAACUUAUUAAGUUUUACAAUUAUUUAUUAAAAAUUCAUACUCAAUAAACCUCAUUUAUAUGAUUUUAUACCUCCAUUUUUUUAGUUAAAAAGCAGAAAUUAUGAAAUACUUUGAUAUAUUCUGAUUUAAGUUAAAAUCCGAGGAAGACUUUAGUCAGAGUUUAGUCAGGAAAUGGUUUUUAAAACAUUUAAACCGUUUUUUUCUUUUUUUCUUUUUCCAAAUGCUGUAAAAUAUAAUAUAACAUCCGGAAUUGAUAAAUCCGGAAAUGAUAUUGUGAAGAACGUUGUAUUGAACCAACCCUGUUGUUGUUUUUGGGGGCAAUUCGGUUAAAAGAAAACCAUAUUUCUUUGAGUAGAAACUUUGAAAAAAAAAACAGGAGGGUAAAUGUCUUGCUUUUUUUUUUUUUUUUCAGUCCCAAACCCAGAUAUUCAGUUUGCUAUGAUAUGAAAUUAAAGAAAGAGCAGGGAAUCUCCAUAUUUGAGGGACUUAUAACUGCAUUUUCAAAAAAAAAAAAGUUUUUUUGCAUGAAAAAUCGCUUUAACAAUUAAAUCGAUAAUCAAAAUAGUUGGUGAUUUCGAUCAACUAAUCGCUUCAGCUCUGAAUUCUUCUCGCCGCUCUAAAAGACAGUGGUUGUGGCAGCAACAGAAGAAUUGAUUUCUGGUUUGGUCUGCUUGCGGCACGGCUAGGGGCCAGUGUCGUUUUUGUUCCGGUAAUGCUACUUUGAAGUUAGUGUCUUUCGGGGCUAAAUUACGUGGUAUCGGAUCGGUGCGCAGACUCGUCCAUACCGGCAUUUUAGGCAGUAUGGGAGGCUUUCCCGAGAUUGUUAUCGGUAUCGAAACAACUCAAAGUCCGUCUGUGUCUUUUGGGGUUGCAGCGAAGCGUCACGAGGAAACUCUGGGCAGGUUUGUGCUGCGAGAGCAGAGAGAGAGUUGGUUUGCCUUAUCUCCAUGACGGCGUGCCGCCAUGUUACUGUGAUCCUACAGUCUGAGUGAGCGAGGGUGACGGAGAGAUAAACAGACAGAAUGAAUGAGUGAAAAACAGUUUUCUCUGGCUUAAGUUUUUACUGCGACAACAACAACAGGCCGGCGAGAAAAGGCGGUCCGAUUAAGGAGACGUGAUGCGACUGCGGUGCGGAAGUUCUACCAACUAUCAGGCUUUUAGUUCGUCGUAUGUUUUAAUAAAUGGUUUACUGCCAAUCAUUAUUUGCAGGACUGGGUAUCGCCACUGCAAUGUUCCCCAUACUUUGAUUUAUCUGUGGCGGCCCGCCACAAUAUCACCGUUGACUGCCACAAAUUGAUUUUCUAUUUUAUUAAUAUUUUAAAUGGUAAAACCAUAUGUCAUUGUAGAGCUGUGCACAGCAUAUUCAUUUACUCAGCUGCUCCUUUUCGUGCACGGCGGCUCGACCGCAUUAAGCCUCUGGCUCCUACCAUUUACCGUGUAUCUACAGUUAGUAAGUCUUUCUCUCUGCCGCUGUUUUUCCACAUAUAGCCUAGCGUUAGCUAACGUUAGCACUUGUUCCGGAGGAGCUCUGACCAGCGUAAGUCGAGGGCGACGUCACCUGGUUUGCUGCGGCAGCUUUAGCUUUUGGUUGGUAAUGUCUGAGGGGGAAACAAACACGGGAGAGAUUUUAACGUUGAGAUCCAAAAGGUAAAAACAAAAGUUCAUCAGCUCUGAUCAUGUUUUUGUUGAUUUGCCGGUGACAUGUAGGACUUUCCAUUAUUGUCUUUUGGAGCAUAAAGACUUAAAGGCUUUUAGGAAUCAGUUUCUAUGACUUCACAUGGAUUAUUUAUUUAUUUGUCGGCACAUUGUGCUGCUGCUGCAAGUGUCUUCAUGUCUUCAGUCUCUGUCGGGAUUAUGAUUAUUUUUAUUUUUUUUUGUUUUAUUUCUAUCUUAACUCUUUGUGCCUCAUACAUCUCCAGAGCCGACCGUCUGAUUCUCAAAAAUACAACUAGAGAUCUUUGUGAAAACCCAGAAAAGAUUUAGAAGUGUUUUUAAUCCACCGCGCACAUAAAAAAGGUUUCUAGCCCACGUGCUCUGAUCC
Molecule: long non-coding RNA, 2582 nt
Organism: Sander lucioperca (pikeperch)
Lineage: Eukaryota; Metazoa; Chordata; Actinopteri; Perciformes; Percidae
Exons: 2
Source: RefSeq, a predicted model, not a curated record